This 450-nucleotide ribosomal RNA is filed under the name uncultured bacterium. Its description in RNAcentral is "partial 16S ribosomal RNA". It matches the Rfam family "Bacterial small subunit ribosomal RNA", at positions 354 to 796 of the family's 1533-position model. The record is from RNAcentral.
GUGGGGAAUAUUGGACAAUGGGCGAAAGCCUGAUCCAGCCAUGCCGCGUGUGUGACGAAGGUCUUCGGAUUGUAAAGCACUUUAAGUUGGGAGGAAGGGCAGUAAGCUAAUACCUUGCUGUUUUGACGUUACCGACAGAAUAAGCACCGGCUAACUCUGUGCCAGCAGCCGCGGUAAUACAGAGGGUGCAAGCGUUAAUCGGAAUUACUGGGCGUAAAGCGCGCGUAGGUGGUUCGUUAAGUUGGAUGUGAAAGCCCCGGGCUCAACCUGGGAACUGCAUCCAAAACUGGCGAGCUAGAGUACGGUAGAGGGUGGUGGAAUUUCCUGUGUAGCGGUGAAAUGCGUAGAUAUAGGAAGGAACACCAGUGGCGAAGGCGACCACCUGGACUGAUACUGACACUGAGGUGCGAAAGCGUGGGGAGCAAACAGGAUUAGAAACCCGGGUAGUCC